Molecule: transfer RNA, 75 nt
Filed under: Planctomycetota bacterium
Lineage: Bacteria; Pseudomonadati; Planctomycetota
Also listed under: 1 other name
Description: tRNA-Pro
Rfam family: tRNA
About the family: Transfer RNA (tRNA) molecules are approximately 80 nucleotides in length. Their secondary structure includes four short double-helical elements and three loops (D, anti-codon, and T loops).
Source: RNAcentral
CGGGCCGUAGCGCAGUCUGGCUAGCGCGCCACCUUGGGGUGGUGGAGGUCGCAGGUUCAAGUCCUGUCGGCCCGA